GACGAACGCUGGCGGCGUGCUUAACACAUGCAAGUCGAACGGAAAGGCCCUGCUUUUGUGGGGUGCUCGAGUGGCGAACGGGUGAGUAACACGUGAGUAACCUGCCCUUGACUUUGGGAUAACUUCAGGAAACUGGGGCUAAUACCGGAUAGGAGCUCCUGCUGCAUGGUGGGGGUUGGAAAGUUUCGGCGGUUGGGGAUGGACUCGCGGCUUAUCAGCUUGUUGGUGGGGUAGUGGCUUACCAAGGCUUUGACGGGUAGCCGGCCUGAGAGGGUGACCGGCCACAUUGGGACUGAGAUACGGCCCAGACUGCUACGGGAGGCAGCAGUGGGGAAUAGUGCACAAUGGGCGGAAGCCUGAUGCAGCAACGCCGCGUGCUGGAUGACGGCCGGCGGGUUGUAAACCGCGUGCGCCUGUGACGAAGCGUGAGUGACGGUAAUGGGUAAAGAAGCACCGGCUAACUACGUG
This 468-nucleotide ribosomal RNA is filed under the name uncultured bacterium. RNAcentral's name for it is "partial 16S ribosomal RNA". It matches the Rfam family "Bacterial small subunit ribosomal RNA", at positions 28 to 507 of the family's 1533-position model. The record is from RNAcentral.